CUUAAAGUUAUGGAGAGGAAGGGCCUCGGGGGCAUACUCCCUAGGUCCUGAUUUCAGAUCCCUGCUGUUUCCUGGAGGACGGGCCACGGCACCUUCUUGUGUCACGUCAUGUCUUACAGCUCCGGCUUCCUUACCUGGAAAGCAGAGCUCCAAAUAAUUCCCUGAUCAGAUGGCAUGUGAGCUGUGGUUAUCAUGGAUCCAACAUCAUGAAUGAGCUUCAAAAGCCCUAAACCUGCUCAGAACUGCUACUGCUUUAAACAUCUCUGGACCUUUCUGUUUGUUCGAAGAGAUCUAAAUCAGAAACUAUUUUUUAAAAUUUUGGACAGAAACUAGGAAAUGGACCCC
Molecule: long non-coding RNA, 345 nt
Organism: Bos indicus x Bos taurus (hybrid cattle)
Lineage: Eukaryota; Metazoa; Chordata; Mammalia; Artiodactyla; Bovidae
Source: Ensembl